Molecule: non-coding RNA, 297 nt
Organism: Pelobates cultripes (western spadefoot toad)
Lineage: Eukaryota; Metazoa; Chordata; Amphibia; Anura; Pelobatidae
Source: the annotation of a GenBank genome assembly
UAUCAAAAAGGAUAACAUGCAUUUUAUCGAAAAGGAGAGAAAAUUUCUACAUAUCUGUACAUUUACAUAAGCUGAAAAAAAGAAACGCCCAUCAAGUUAAGCAUUUUUCACAAGUGUUUCUGCUGUUGAUCCAAAAGAAGGCAAAAAAAAACCUGUUUGAAAUCCUUUACGAUUUUGCAAUUUUUCUCGACCCCAAAUUGACAGUCAGACCUCUCCUUGGAUGAAGAAGGUCUAACCCCACAUUUUAAAUAUCAUAUCCUUGUAUGUUACGCUUUUGCAAUAAUUCAUCUAGUCGCU